RNAcentral lists this ribosomal RNA (262 nucleotides) under uncultured bacterium. Its description in RNAcentral is "partial 16S ribosomal RNA". It matches the Rfam family "Bacterial small subunit ribosomal RNA", at positions 333 to 613 of the family's 1533-position model. The record is from RNAcentral.
UUCGGCCACGGGGCGCAGCAGUGGGGAAUAUUGCACAAUGGGGGAAACCCUGAUGCAGCAACGCCGCGUGAGUGAAGAAGUCAUUCGGUAUGUAAAGCUCUAUCAGCAGGGAAGAAAAUGACGGUACCUGACUAAGAAGCCCCGGCUAAAUACGUGCCAGCAGCCGCGGUAAUACGUAUGGGGCAUGCGUUAUCCGGAUUUACUGGGUGUAAAGGGAGUGCAGGCGGCUUGGCAAGUCUGAUGUGAAAGGCUGGGGCUCAAC